AUGGCAAGCACAGGAAGUGCAUUAAGCAACUUACCACAAGCUUGGUUGGGGAAUUCCUUGGUAAAGUAUGGCCACAUGUGGGCUGCAGCUAGGGCAUAUGAAAAAGAUAAAUUUGAUAACCACAUGGCCAAGAUAUUUGCAGCAAGCAAAGCCGUAUGGUGGGACGAGGACAGAUGUAUUGAAACAAAAAUCAUUCAAACAAAUGUUGAGGAGGAAACCCUUCAAAAUAAUAUAACUGCAAGGACGAAUAAGAGUUCAAAGGCCCAAAGUUCAACGUUUGUCUCAAUUCAGCGCCAAAAAUAUCCACAAGAUAAAGACGCACCGGGGAACAUGGUCCAGAUUUCGCCACGAGUGGAGCAUCUUGUUGCUCAAGUUUCGGAGGACCCAAUCGAGGAGAAGCAGAGGUGA
RNAcentral lists this ribosomal RNA (408 nucleotides) under Triticum aestivum (bread wheat). RNAcentral describes it as "partial small subunit ribosomal RNA". Lineage: Eukaryota; Viridiplantae; Streptophyta; Magnoliopsida; Poales; Poaceae. The record is from RNAcentral.